Arachis stenosperma is the source of this 1773-nucleotide RNA transcript. RefSeq lists it as uncharacterized. Lineage: Eukaryota; Viridiplantae; Streptophyta; Magnoliopsida; Fabales; Fabaceae. The transcript is spliced from 10 exons. The record is from RefSeq and is a predicted model, not a curated record.
CAUAGCCACAGCCACAGCCAUUCAUCUCCUUGCCGCUAGUGCCAAUGCCACAAUGUGCUUCGACAAUCUCUUUUUCCGUUAUCUCUUUCGUCAACUCAUCUCCUCAGGCCGCGACGUGAUUUCUCAGGCAAGAAAAUUUGAUAUCGAGAAAACAAAGCUAAUGUGUGUUAACAUGCUCAAGUUGAGGAAGGAAUUUGGUUCAGACAUUAUUGUAGAGGUGCAGCUGAUGCUGUUGCUGCAGGGGCUGAAGCUAUUGUGGCUUCGCCCAAAACGAGUGAUAGUCCCAGUUUGAGCAAGUUGUUUAGCGGUAAUUUGUUGGAGAAAUUUACUUUGGACAACUCCACAUACUCGCAGGCGCAAAUCAGAGCUACUUUCUACCUAAAAUUCGAGAAUGAGAAGUUAGAUCAAGAGAUAAGGAUAAGAAUGAUUAAGAUGGUAGCUAAAGGUUUGGCUACGUUAGAGGUAUGUUUGUUGUGCUUUAAAUUUUUGUGUUGGUUGAAAAAUUGUUGAAUGGUGUGAUUUUUAUGAUUUUAUUGAUUUUCAUUGGUGGAGUUAAUCUUGUUGUCCUGCAUGUGCAGGUUUUUCUCAAACACUCUGGUUCUCUUUUUAUGUAUGCGGGUCAUGAAGGUGGAGCUUAUGCAAAAAAUAGUUUUGGAAAAUAUGUAUCUUUGUGACAUAUUAUGUAUAUUUUGAAAUUUUUUUGUUUCCUUAUUUACCUUAUGUUCGUUGUUUUUUUCUUGAAUAGUAGUCAUGCAGCAACGUGGAUAAUGGUCAUGCCUUAGGGCAUGAUAGUUUUCAUUCAUAAAUAAAUAAAUUUACUAGGAGUACAUUCCAUUGGCCUCCACUUCUCCCUCUACUCAUAUCCCUUUGUUAUGCUUUCUUUAUGCGGUUAAUAUUUUUAUUUAUGGUUUAUUGCUCUUUUCCAUUGUUGCAGAUAUACUGUUGUUGGUGUAUUUAUACUUAGGCGGAUGUUUCGCGAGGCUUGGGGAGCUGCGGCUUCUAAAAAACAAACUGAAUUUAAUGAUUUUCUUGAGGACUUUGAUUUCAAGGAAAUCAAUGAAGUGAUAAUCCUUCCUUGAGCCUUAGACUACAACAAAAUUCAUUUACGUCAUGAGAGGAUUGAUGAAAGAAUGAAGGCUUGCAGGAAUUAGUUUUCAGCAUCAAUAAGGAUGAGCCCCCAAGUGAAAGGAAGAUUGCCAAAUUGUGUUAAUAUGCUGCAAAAGAAUCCUUUUCGGAUUCCAAAGUUUGUGAUCCAGUGAUGGGUGACGAAGGAAAAUUUUAUGUUCCUCAAGAGCUAAUAUCAGUUUAUUGUGAAAAGGCACGACAAGCCUAUCUUAUUGGCAAUAAAGCCCUAGCAAAGGAACUUAAUGCUAAAGGGCAAGUGCACAACAUGCAUAUAAAAGCAGCUCAUGGAAAAGCUCAGGAAUCUAUUUAUCGCCAGAGGAUUCAAUCUGAAGAUGAUGGCCGAAAAGCUUGUAAUUUUCUUCAUGAGGCUGGACCAUCAAAGGUUUAUCUUUAUAUUUGUCCAUGAAAAAGCUCCUAUUUAGACAAGUGUUACAACUAUGCAUAUUUUAUUAUUUACGGUAUAGUUCAGUUUUUGAUAAGUUUGAUUGUUAUGUAUGUAUGAAUGUUAAAGCUUUUGUGAAGCCAAAUUUGGAUUGAGUUCAGCUUCUAUUAAGUAUUAAUCAAUGUUUUGCCUUUCUUAUGUGAUUAUCGAAGUAUCUCUCUAUUCUUUUAUAUAGUUAAUUAGAACAAUACCAUAUGGAAUUAUGA